GUGUAUUUUAAACACAGAGUCACUUAUUACAACUUAAAACAACCAAGAGAGGACCCCGAAAGUAAUUACCAUGACGUAAAAUAUGUGCCUAUUACAAAUCUAAUUAACUGUACAAAGAUACACUAAUUAAUUAUACAAAGAUAUAGAUAUAUGAGAAACAGAACUCACAAACAAUGAUCAAGUGAGAUGGCUAAGAACAAACUAUCUAGAAAAAACAUGUGCAACAACCCGAAGAGACUUUUAACCCACUUUCUCACAUCAAGUAAAUCUACCAUUUACAAGUGAAGAAAGACACGAACUGAACCUCAUGUCCGCAAUGUAGGAACCAUUUACAGUACCAAGCUAGUGAUGACAAAUCUUUUAACCAUCUACCACAUGCAAUAGAAAAGUGAAAUAUAAUUUGCCAGCUUCUUCUUCAAAGAAGAAUAUCAAUCAUGUGGUCACCGUUGGUGUAUGUCACAACUCUGCUCCUCCUGGCAAAUUACAUCCAACAAAAGUAAGUAAGUUGGUUGGUAGUGAAUAGUACAGAUUAAGAGAAAUCAACAUACAACAAGAAAUCUACAUUUUGAAGAAAUCAAUAUACAACAAGAAUGUCGAGAUGGUUCAAGAAAUAUUUUGAUUAAUGGAUGAACAUCGUGUUAUAUUUGGAUAAGCAUUAGUGUUCUAUUUUGGGAGAGCUAACUUGUUGCAUUCCUACAAGGAAUUUCUCCUAGAAAUUUCAGAAAAAUACAAUGUUCAUCUCUGCUCUCAAGAGAAAUGGACUUCUCAAUAGUUUCAGAAACAUGCAGGAAUUAUAAUUGCUUGUGAAUCUCUCCAUAGAGGUGGAGAUGACAUAAGUAUUGUGAACUGAAAAACAAGUAAAUAUUUAUAGAGCUAAAUGGAUAGAUAAUUAUUUGUUGCAGACAAAUAAAUAACAACAUUAAAUUGUCGAGAAAUAUAAAUUAGGACUGCGUGCCCAAGCGAUGCCUAUAAGUACAAUUGGUCUGUCACUUUAGAAUUCAUCCACGAGAUUCAUACAUGUACUGCUAAACUGUAGUAGCAUGGAAACUUUUCUAGCUCACUUGUGUGCAUUAAAAGAAUCUUUAUUUUGCCACUAUACAAACGUUAGUCUUCAAGUGGAGCACAAAACAUAAAUAAUGUAACAACUAUGCAUCAAAGAAAUCAAUUACCAUCACUUGUCAUUCAUAAAAAAUAUAAAUCAUCUAUUGGGUUAGAGCACCGCAUGAACUGAGAAGACGAUUAAGCACCAAUCUCAUUGGUCAUUUGCCCGAAUUUUCAUUCGUCUACAAACAAUUACAUAUGACAAAAAAUAUUAAACAGGUUACUGAAACUCAUUACGCAUCUGAAACCAUUUAAAUUUCAGGAAACAAUGUAACAAGUAACAUCAUACAUUGCAAUGUGGGCCAUGAGAUUUCGCCAUCAUGAUUGAACCCUCACAUGUUGCUGUCAUUGCACACAUGAACAUGUGUUAGUUAUCGUAUAUUGCAGCCGGCAACAGAGCAUGAUAUUUUAAAUAGAGAGCUUCUUACACUGAUGUUCCACAGCACGCCACACCAGGAGCAGUAGCUCGGGCAUGCCCCGUCGCUGGACCUGUCAUACAAAAUGUUGC
This 1609-nucleotide long non-coding RNA is filed under the name Hordeum vulgare. RNAcentral's name for it is "long non-coding RNA (HVUL_LNC000590)". Lineage: Eukaryota; Viridiplantae; Streptophyta; Magnoliopsida; Poales; Poaceae. The record is from RNAcentral.